This 1281-nucleotide ribosomal RNA is filed under the name Providencia huaxiensis. Its description in RNAcentral is "partial 23S ribosomal RNA". It matches the Rfam family "Bacterial large subunit ribosomal RNA", at positions 1 to 1211 of the family's 2925-position model. The record is from RNAcentral. Lineage: Bacteria; Pseudomonadati; Pseudomonadota; Gammaproteobacteria; Enterobacterales; Morganellaceae.
GGUUAAGCGACUAAGCGUACACGGUGGAUGCCUAGGCAAUCAGAGGCGAUGAAGGACGUGCUAAUCUGCGAUAAGCGUCGGUAAGGUGAUAUGAACCGUUACAACCGACGAUUUCCGAAUGGGGAAACCCAGUGCAAUUCGUUGCACUAUCGUUUGAUGAAUACAUAGUCAAACGAAGCGAACCGGGGGAACUGAAACAUCUCAGUACCCCGAGGAAAAGAAAUCAACCGAGAUUCCCCUAGUAGCGGCGAGCGAACGGGGAGCAGCCCAGAGUCUUAAUCAGCAUUAGCAUCAGGAGAACGGUCUGGAAAGUCCGGCAGUAAAGGGUGAUAGCCCCGUAUCCGAAGGUGUUAGUGUUGUGAACUCGACGAGUAGGGCGGGACACGUGUUAUCCUGUCUGAAUAUGGGGGGACCAUCCUCCAAGGCUAAAUACUCCUGAUUGACCGAUAGUGAACCAGUACCGUGAGGGAAAGGCGAAAAGAACCCCGGCGAGGGGAGUGAAAUAGAACCUGAAACCGUGUACGUACAAGCAGUGGGAGCCCCACCACCAAAGCAUUUUCUGGUGUUGAGGACAACUUUGAAGUGGCAUUCAACACGCGUUGACGGAGCGCUUUUUGCGACGUCCAACACACAAAACAAGCAGUGAAUGUGCUUUGGGGUGGGGUGACUGCGUACCUUUUGUAUAAUGGGUCAGCGACUUAUAUUCUGUAGCAAGGUUAACCGUAUAGGGGAGCCGUAGGGAAACCGAGUCUUAACUGGGCGAAUGAGUUGCAGGGUAUAGACCCGAAACCCGGUGAUCUAGCCAUGGGCAGGUUGAAGGUUGGGUAACACUAACUGGAGGACCGAACCGACUAAUGUUGAAAAAUUAGCGGAUGACUUGUGGCUGGGGGUGAAAGGCCAAUCAAACCGGGAGAUAGCUGGUUCUCCCCGAAAGCUAUUUAGGUAGCGCCUCGUGAACUCAUCUUCGGGGGUAGAGCACUGUUUCGACUAGGGGGUCAUCCCGACUUACCAACUCGAUGCAAACUACGAAUACCGAAGAAUGUUAUCACGGGAGACACACGGCGGGUGCUAACGUUCGUCGUGAAGAGGGAAACAACCCAGACCGCCAGCUAAGGUCCCAAAGUCAUAGUUAAGUGGGAAACGAAGUGGGAAGGCUCAGACAGCCAGGAUGUUGGCUUAGAAGCAGCCAUCAUUUAAAGAAAGCGUAAUAGCUCACUGGUCGAGUCGGCCUGCGCGGAAGAUGUAACGGGGCUAAACUAUGCACCGAAGCUGCGGCAGCGA